RNAcentral lists this ribosomal RNA (426 nucleotides) under uncultured prokaryote. RNAcentral describes it as "bacterial SSU rRNA". It matches the Rfam family "Bacterial small subunit ribosomal RNA", at positions 355 to 774 of the family's 1533-position model. The record is from RNAcentral.
UCGAGAAUUUUUCACAAUGGGCGCAAGCCUGAUGGAGCGACGCCGCGUGGGGGAUGAAUGGCUUCGGCCCGUAAACCCCUGUCAUUCGCGAUCAAACGUUGGUAUUUAAAAGAUGCCAGCCUGAUAGUAGCGGAAGAGGAAGGGACGGCUAACUCUGUGCCAGCAGCCGCGGUAAUACAGAGGUCCCGAGCGUUGUUCGGAUUCACUGGGCGUAAAGGGUGCGUAGGUGGUGAGGUAAGUCGGAUGUGAAAGCUCGGAGCUCAACGCCGAAAUGGCAUUGGAAACUACCGUGCUUGAGGAUUGGAAUGGGGACUGGAAUGCUUGGUGUAGCAGUGAAUUGCGUAGAUAUCAAGUGGAACACCAGUGGCGAAGGCGAGUCCCUGGACGGAACCUGACACUGAGGCACGAAAGCUAGGGGAGCAAACA